CCAGCCACAAGUUCAGUGGUAGGCGAAGGAGAGAAAGCAACAGCAGAGCACGAAAAGCGAGAAACGUUAGGGUUAUCAGAAGAAUUGGAUUUGGAAUCCGAGCGGAUGCAAUUAAGGGACGUAAAGGAGAAGGAAGGAUAUUGGGUUUUGUGGGCAAAGAACCUACGCUUAGGCGUAGUGUUUGGGGAGACAGAGAAAAGAGAAGAAUAGUAGGAAGAGGCUUUCAUGGAGAUGGUUGCAGAGAACUCCAUGGAAGAGGUGAAGUCCAGAGACAAAGACGGAGAGAAUAGAUUGAAGUGGAUUCGCCUAAACGUGCGUGUAUGCGGUGUCGGUUUGGGAAAAUUUGGA
RNAcentral lists this unclassified non-coding RNA (348 nucleotides) under Hevea brasiliensis (rubber tree). The record is from RNAcentral. Lineage: Eukaryota; Viridiplantae; Streptophyta; Magnoliopsida; Malpighiales; Euphorbiaceae.